CGGACACGCUGGGGGUGGCGCUCGCUCGCGCAGCGAGCCGCCUGAGACAGUCCCCUAGAACCUGAUCCGGUUCGUACCGGCGGAGGAAAGCGUAUGCCUGACACA
This 105-nucleotide non-coding RNA is filed under the name Enhygromyxa salina. RNAcentral's name for it is "TPP sequence". It matches the Rfam family "TPP riboswitch aptamer (THI element)". From Rfam's summary of the family: Vitamin B(1) in its active form thiamin pyrophosphate (TPP) is an essential coenzyme that is synthesised by coupling of pyrimidine and thiazole moieties in bacteria. The record is from RNAcentral. Lineage: Bacteria; Pseudomonadati; Myxococcota; Nannocystales; Nannocystaceae.